This 278-nucleotide ribosomal RNA is filed under the name uncultured bacterium. Its description in RNAcentral is "partial 16S ribosomal RNA". It matches the Rfam family "Bacterial small subunit ribosomal RNA", at positions 28 to 334 of the family's 1533-position model. The record is from RNAcentral.
GAUGAACGCUAGCGAUAGGCUUAACACAUGCAAGUCGAACGGACCCUUCGGGGUUAGUGGCGGACGGGUGAGUAACACGUGGGAACGUGCCUUUUGGUUCGGAAUAGCUCCUGGAAACGGGUGGUAAUGCCGAAUGUGCCCUUUGGGGGAAAGAUUUAUCGCCAUUAGAGCGGCCCGCGUCUGAUUAGCUAGUUGGUGAGGUAAAGGCUCACCAAGGCUACGAUCAGUAGCUGGUCUGAGAGGAUGACCAGCCACAUUGGGACUGAGACACGGCCCAU